AUGUCCAACCCGGGUGAUGAUCAUUGGCAUGCACUAGAAAGGGUCUUGCGCUAUCUGAGAGGUACUAUGAGUUACGGAAUUACUUAUUCAGGGCAUCUUGCUGUGCUAGAAGGAUAUAGUGAUUCAAAUUGGAUCUCCGAUGUUGAUGUACUUUACGCAACAAGUGGGUAUGUAUUUACACAUGGUGGUGGCGCAGUGUCAUGGAGGUCUUGCAAGCAAACCAUAUUGACGAGGUCAACUAUGGAAGCAGAAUUAACUGCUUUGGACACAGCUACUGUUGAGGCAGAAUGGCUGCGUGAGCUCUUGAUGGACUUGCCGGUUGUUGAAAAACCUGUACCGGCUAUUCUUAUGAAUUGUGAUAACCAAACGGUUAUCGCUAAAGUGAACAAUUCUAAAGAUAAUGCAAAGUCAUCAAGACACGUGAAAAGACGUUUGAAGUCUGUCAGGAAGUUGAGAAACUCCGGAGUAAUAACUGUUACGUAUAUACAAACAGACAAAAACCUGGCAGAUCCCUUUACAAAGGGACUAUCACGAAAUGUGAUAGAUAUUGCAUCGAGGGAGAUGGGUAUGAGACCCAUAGAUGUUACACCAUAG
This 594-nucleotide ribosomal RNA is filed under the name Triticum aestivum (bread wheat). RNAcentral's name for it is "partial small subunit ribosomal RNA". Lineage: Eukaryota; Viridiplantae; Streptophyta; Magnoliopsida; Poales; Poaceae. The record is from RNAcentral.